RNAcentral lists this small nuclear RNA (308 nucleotides) under Callithrix jacchus (white-tufted-ear marmoset). RNAcentral describes it as "7SK RNA". It matches the Rfam family "7SK RNA". From Rfam's summary of the family: 7SK was discovered as an abundant small nuclear RNA in the mid-70s but a possible function has only recently been suggested. The record is from Rfam by way of RNAcentral. Lineage: Eukaryota; Metazoa; Chordata; Mammalia; Primates; Cebidae.
GGAUGUGAUGGCUGCGACAUCUGUCACCCCACUGAUUGCCAGGGUUGAUUCAGCUUAUCUGGCUGGCUAGGCAGCUGCCCCCUUCCUUCCUCACGACUCCAAGUGUACCCUUCCCGACGCUGCGUGGUGUGUCACAAAGGACAACCAUUCCCAAUAGAGGAGGACCAGUCUUCCAUCAAGGCUAUUUAUGUAGCUGCACUCCAGUGAGAACCUCCAAACAAGCUCUCAAAAAUGCAAACUGGUUGGGUGUGGUGGCUCAUGUCGGUAAUCCCAGCACUUUGGGAGGCUGAGGCAGGCAGAUCACUAAG